UUACACAGCACACGAUCUUUCUUUAGUUCCUUGGGCACCGCCGCGAUCUGAUUAUACUUCUUGGUCUGUCUUUUGCAUAAUAAAAAAAAACAUGCAUGCUUAGAAAUCUGAUGAUACUACCUUUUGCCGUCAGCAGUUGACUUCAGUUCCCAUUCUGUCGGUGUCGGCGUCGGCGUUUAUGCGGUCCAUCGGUGGAGAUUAGCGAACCAAGAUUUGCCUAUUAAUUAAAUUUGGAUUUAAUUGUAU
Molecule: long non-coding RNA, 246 nt
Filed under: Citrus x clementina
Lineage: Eukaryota; Viridiplantae; Streptophyta; Magnoliopsida; Sapindales; Rutaceae
Description: Citrus clementina (C. clementina) long non-coding RNA (CCLE_LNC003025)
Source: RNAcentral